UGAUGAUGAUGAUGAUGAUGAUGAUGAUGAUACCGGGAAGAGAGAGAGGGGGGGAGAGGGAGAGAGAGAAAUUUCUUCACAACCACCACAUCAUACAUCAUCGUCAUCAUCAUGA
RNAcentral lists this microRNA precursor (115 nucleotides) under Bigelowiella natans CCMP2755. Its description in RNAcentral is "miRNA EPrBNAG00000013691". Lineage: Eukaryota; Cercozoa; Chlorarachniophyceae. The record is from RNAcentral.